This is a long non-coding RNA of Oncorhynchus keta (chum salmon), 836 nucleotides long. RefSeq lists it as uncharacterized. The record is from RefSeq and is a predicted model, not a curated record. NCBI's taxonomy places the organism in Eukaryota, Metazoa, Chordata, Actinopteri, Salmoniformes, Salmonidae. The transcript is spliced from 5 exons.
GUCAUAGUAGUACGAUAGGUGUUGUUGUACAGGGUCAGUCAUAGUAGUACGAUAGGUGUUGUUGUACAGGGUCAGUCAUAGUAGUACGAUAGGUGUUGUUUUACAGGGUCAGUCAUAGUAGUAUGAUAGGUGUUGUUUUACAGGGUCAGUCACAGUAGUAUGAUAGGUGUUGUUUUACAGGGUCAGUCAUAGUAGUAUGAUAGGUGUUGUUUUACAGGGUCAGUCAUAGUAGUAUGAUAGGUGUUGUUUUACAGGGUCAGUCACAGUAGUAUGAUAGGUGUUGUUUUACAGGGUCAGCCAUAGUAGUAUGAUAGGUGUUGUUUUACAGGGUCAGUCAUAGUAGUAUGAUAGGUGUUGUUUUACAGGGUCAGUCAGUAGUAUGAUAGGUGUUGUUUUACAGGGUCAGUCAUAGUAGUAUGAUAGGUGUUGUUUUACAGGGUCAGUCACAGUAGUAUGAUAGGUGUUGUUUUACAGGGUCAGUCAUAGUAGUAUGAUAGGUGUUGUUUUACAGGGUCAGUCACAGUAGUAUGAUAGGUGUUGUUUUACAGGGUCAGUCAUAGUAGUAUGAUAGGUGUUGUUUUACAGGGUCAGUCAUAGUAGUAUGAUAGGUGUUGUUUUACAGGGUCAGUCAUAGUAGUAUGAUAGGUGUUGUUGUACAGGGUCAGUCAUAGUAGUAUGAUAGGUGUUGUUUUACAGGGUCAGUCAUAGUAGUAUGAUAGGUGUUGUUGUACAGGGUCAGUCAUAGUAGUAUGAUAGGUGUUGUUGUACAGGGUCAGUCAUAGUAGUAUGAUAGGUGUUGUUUUACAGGGUCAGUCAUAGUAGUAUGAUAGGUGUUG